Long non-coding RNA from Spinacia oleracea (spinach), 472 nucleotides. RefSeq lists it as uncharacterized. The transcript is spliced from 3 exons. NCBI's taxonomy places the organism in Eukaryota, Viridiplantae, Streptophyta, Magnoliopsida, Caryophyllales, Amaranthaceae. The record is from RefSeq and is a predicted model, not a curated record.
CUUUCAUUUUCUGUAAAAGAGUCGUAACACACUCACCCCCACAAACUCUUAGUACUCUUACCUUUCUUCACCGUUGCUUCUCUAUCAACAAAGCUACUUGGAGCUCAGUGAGACGACACCCCUCUUCCAUCCUACAUGUGUGUCUCAAAACAAAUAAACAAUGAACUUUUCAAUGAUUCAUUGGUUUCAUACUUGAUGGGUUAGUUUGGAAGCUGGACCCUUGAGAGAUAUAGCAAAAGGUAGAUCUGUCAAUCCACUUGACUUGGGAGAGGAUGAAGAUGUAAUUCCAUGCAGUAAUAAAGGCCCUUCUUGUUAAUGAAAUUUGCAGACAUAUUAUGGAACAAUAAUGGAUUUGAUUCGUGUCUUUGAAGUUGGAAAAUUAGCUUUGUAAUUUAGCUAAUUUCUACAAGGCUUGGUGCAUGUGUCAUUAGACUUUUAUUUGGUUAAAAACUCUAGUUUCAAAUUAUUAGCA